GAGAGGAGACCCAAGGAUUGGGAGGCUGGAAGGCGCCGGAAAGGGGAAACCGGGGUCCUGCGCCAGCAUCUCAGAGGAGGGCGCCCGCUGCAGCCCACGUGGGGCUGGCCCCAUGGAGAAGGAGUGACCAGAACCCCUUCGGCCAAUAAGCUCAGCGAACUUCACCCUCUACCCUUCCCGAACAAGGCCCGGCUCAAUGGCUUUUGAUGCGUCCUAAGCUUUCAGUCCCAAGAGGGUCCUGAAGCCAAGGCCCGAGGUCCUCGCUUCCAUGCAACUGCCCCCGACCCUGACCAUUCUGGACAGAGCUGCGCCCCUGGCUGGCACAAGCAGGAACAGAAGAACCACAGCAGCUCAGGGAUCCACAGCCCUCUCUCAGGCACCUGCAGGAUCUGGCGCUGUUCCGGAGAGGCCCGUUGCAGACACUGAACCACCAGCCAGCUGCACUUGUUGUCCUGGAUGUCAGUGCCGAUCUUGCCCGUCACACUGGGAUCCCCAAAGAGAUCAAGGCUCCAGAUUGGAAUUUCCAACACCUGCAGGACAGACAGCUCCGCCCGAUCUGCUCAUACCGAGAAUGCGGUGUGGCCGACUCUGAGCUCGUCACGUCCUCCCUCGGGCCAGCUGCUCCUCUCCGCAGGCCAGAAUCACCUGUCAUUCGCCAAGCCCUGAGCGUCUUCCCUCCUGGGCUCACUGGCCCCCUCCUCAGGGCCUAGCACCACCCCCCCCCCAAACCUGGUCCCCCUGUCGCUAAUGAAGACUUUAGGCCAGGCCAGCAAACCAUACACCUUCAAGGGCCAAGUGAGCUUGGAGACGGGAAGAUGUGGGGAUUGGAGCAAGAUAAAGACAGACCCACACAUGUCCUGUCUUGGGAAAGUGGCCUCAAUUCAACUUCAGCCAACUGUCGCUACAUGGGACUCUGGACCCAGAUCUAGCAAUUUUCCAAGUAAUGCUAGAAAUCUGGUGUUUUAUGUGAAAUCUCUUCUUUGUUAGAUUUAGGGACCUUAAUUUUAAAAUAUUUUCGAAAACUACCAAUGGGCUUCCAGUUUUCAAUCUUUGCCACAGAAUAACCUUCUAGAAGAACUAGCUUACUUCUGCAGCUGUCCUCUGCUCAGAGGAAAGAGUUGACAACUUUAUGGCCAGUUCCAAGGCCCUGGCCCACAGCAAGUCUACAGGUGAAAUAUGUACCUACUGACAAAAGACUUUCCCCACAUUUGUUAACCCUUGGAGUAAUUCACUAAGUCUGGCUGCAGCACACUAGCGGCACAGAAACACAAACAACCAAGAAACCAAGUUUCAGGCCCAUCCCUCCUUGCCCCACCCCAUCCUACCCAGGGUACCCCCACUCUAAGUAAACCUCGUCUUCUCCUGCCCUUCCCCCUCCCUCUUACCAGUUCCACACACCAGCCCACGGUCAGGGCCCGCCGGAGACUAUCAGCAUCCUGCUUCCUGGGCUCCACCAGCUCCCGGAACGCUACCAGCACUGUCAAACCCCGAUGGUACUUGCCUCCGAUGGCAUUGUACUCCAGGACCUGGGGGCAAGGGCAGAGGGACAAGGCAUCAGGGUCUACAGAGCAGCUAUUCUGAGAGUUCUCCUUGCCCUUUCCCACUUCCAACCACGAGACCUAACUUUAUCCUCCUCAAUCCCUUCAGGCAGCCUCUGGAAUUGCUAUUCUCUUGGCUUCUUCCCAAAUCCUGGAGCACAGCUAGAAGUUCUCCAUUCCCCAGGCUCUCUCUGCAUUGUCUUCUUCAGUACACUUAAAGGCUCCAUACUGGAGAUUAAAAGCUGCUCCCAAACCCAGGACAGGGCUUGAAAUGGGCGAAAACUCUGUACGUGCUACUGAUAGGGACAGAGUAAAAGGACAAAGUAGGUGAUUAUACAAUUAAUUCCACUAGAGGACUGUAAGUAAUGAAAAAAAGUAUGGGAGACCCCUGUAAGUUAAUGAUCACCGAAGAAAGCAGGUUUGCUUAACCACAAAACCAAGCAGGCCUGCUCAGCAACAGAAGCAUGAGACAUGCCCCAAAACAAUAAAACAAUAGUGGCAUGAGACCCACAUCCUGCCCAGUGAGUUCAGUCAGUUAAUGACCCCUAGAACAUGCUCUCUGCACACACAAAAAACAAUUUAUGGAAAGGCGACAUUUCAAUGUAAAAGACCCUCAUUCAGGUACUGAGACCUGAAAUAAUUGUUCCAUAGUGCCACGACAGUCCUGGCUUAAACAUGUAGGGACAAGAAAACUCCCCUGCCCAACCCGGAGGAGGAGGUGAUGAUGAAAGCGUGACGUCUACUCAAGAAUGAGGAAGAAGGCGGUCUUGUCCUCCUCCCCACUUUUCCUUUGAUUAUAAAACUGUAGCCCACGAAGUUCUUGGGGUGCGGCACCCUCUCACCCACCGGCUUGUAAGCCUCACAAGCGUUCUAUUCUAAUAAAUCACUUCUUUUCUAUCA
Eubalaena glacialis (North Atlantic right whale) is the source of this 2438-nucleotide long non-coding RNA. RefSeq lists it as uncharacterized. The record is from RefSeq and is a predicted model, not a curated record. The transcript has 4 exons. Lineage: Eukaryota; Metazoa; Chordata; Mammalia; Artiodactyla; Balaenidae.